RNAcentral lists this ribosomal RNA (253 nucleotides) under uncultured bacterium. RNAcentral's name for it is "partial 16S ribosomal RNA". It matches the Rfam family "Bacterial small subunit ribosomal RNA", at positions 524 to 776 of the family's 1533-position model. The record is from RNAcentral.
UACGUAGGGAGCAGGCGUUGUCCGGAUUUAUUGGGCGUAAAGAGCUCGUAGGCGGUUUCGUAAGUCGGAUGUGAAAAAUCUGGGCUCAACCCAGUGGAGCACCCGAUACUGCGGUGACUGGAGUCCGGUAGGGGAGUGUGGAAUUCCUGGUGUAGCGGUGAAAUGCGCAGAUAUCAGGAGGAACACCAACAGCGAAGGCAGCACUCUGGGCCGGUACUGACGCUGAGGAGCGAAAGCAUGGGUAGCGAACAGG